This 415-nucleotide ribosomal RNA is filed under the name Deltaproteobacteria bacterium. Its description in RNAcentral is "bacterial SSU rRNA". It matches the Rfam family "Bacterial small subunit ribosomal RNA", at positions 1 to 398 of the family's 1533-position model. The record is from RNAcentral. Lineage: Bacteria; Pseudomonadati; Myxococcota; Myxococcia.
UUAAACUGGAGAGUUUGAUUCUGGCUCAGGACGAACGCUGGCGGCGUGCUUAAGACAUGCAAGUCGUACGAGAAAGUCUCUUCGGAGGCGAGUAAAGUGGCGCACGGGUGAGUAACGCGUGGGUAAUCUGCCCUUAGGUUUGGGAUAACCCCGGGAAACCGGAGCUAAUACCGAAUAAGACCACGAUGACUUCGGUCGAUGUGGGAAAAGAUGGCCUCUUCUUGAAAGCUAUCGCCAAUGGAUGAGCCCGCGUUUGAUUAGCUUGUUGGUGAGGUAACGGCUCACCAAGGCUCCGAUCAAUAGCUGGUCUGAGAGGACGACCAGCCACACUGGAACUGAGACACGGUCCAGACUCCUACGGGAGGCAGCAGUCGGGAAUAUUGGGCAAUGGGCGAAAGCCUGACCCAGCAACGCC